This 253-nucleotide ribosomal RNA is filed under the name uncultured bacterium. RNAcentral describes it as "partial 16S ribosomal RNA". It matches the Rfam family "Bacterial small subunit ribosomal RNA", at positions 524 to 776 of the family's 1533-position model. The record is from RNAcentral.
GACGAAGGGGGCUAGCGUUGUUCGGAAUUACUGGGCGUAAAGCGAGUGUAGGUGGUUGUCCAAGUUGGAUGUGAAAGCCUUGAGCUCAACUCAAGAAAUGCAUUCAGGACUGGGCGGCUAGAGGACCGGAGAGGAUAGUGGAAUUCCCAGUGUAGUGGUGAAAUACGUAGAGAUUGGGAAGAACACCAGUGGCGAAGGCGGCUAUCUGGACGGUUUCUGACACUAAGACUCGAAAGCGUGGGAAGCAAACAGG